GUUUUGCUCUGAGAAUCAAAAGAUUAGUGAGGCCUGAGUAGGCUGUGUGAUCCUGAAAGCACUUAACUCAAUGUGGAAUACUUAUUGCCUAGAAGGGUAAAUGUAAAUGUUUUCUAAAAGCAAAGGAAGCAAGCUACCUUAAAAGAUGCCUUUGCCCUGGCUUUAUUUAUUUUUAUUUUUUCUUUUUAUUUAUAUAUGACAGCGGAAUGCAUUACAAUUUUUAUUACACAUAUAGAGCACAAUUUUUCAUAUCUCUGAUUGUAUACAUAGUAUAUUCACACCAAUUCAUGUCUUCAUACCUGUACUUUGGAUAAUAAUGAUCCUCACAUUCCACCAUCAUUAAUAACCCCAUGCCCCCUUUCUUUUCCUCCAACCCCUCUCUGCCCUAUCUAGAGUUUGUCUAUUCCUCCCAUGAUCCCCCUCCCUACCCCACUAUGAAUGAACCUCCUUAUAUCAAAGAAAACAUUUGGCAUUUGAUUUUUUGGGAUUGGCUAACUUCACUUAGCAUUAUCUUCUCUAACUCCAUCCAUUUACCUGCAAAUGCCAUGAUUUUGUUCUCUUUUAUUACUGAAUAAUAUUCCAUUGUGUAUAUAUGCCACAUUUUUUUUAUCCCAAAGGACUUUAAAACAGCAUACUAUAGGGACACAGCCACAUCAAUAUUUAUAGAAGCACAAUUCACAAUAGCUAAACUGUGGAACCAACUUAGAUGCCCUUCAAUAGAUGAAUGGAUAAAAAAAAUGUCCUGGCUUUAUAAAUGAGAAAUGGAAGCUGUUAUGAGCUGAGGCAUGUGUCUCUCUCCCCAAAAUCAGAUGUUGAAAUCCUAAUCGUCAGUUCCUCAGCCUAUACUCUUAUUUAGAAAAGCAGUCAUUGCAGAUGCAAUAGUUAAGAUGGGUUCAUACUGAAGGAGAGUGGGUCCCUAGUCUAAUAUGAUUAAUAUCCUUAUAAGAGACCUAGAGGAAAGACAGUGUGAGGAGAUAUAGCAAGGAGAUGGACAUCUAUAAACCAAGGAGAGAUGCCUGUGUCAGUUCCCUCCCUUGAAGCUUUGAGAGGGAACCAACCGUGCUGAUACCCUGAGUUCAAACCUGUAACCUCUAAAAGUACAAGUCACCUACUGUGUGGUACUUUGUUAUAGCAACCUUAGCAAACUAAUUCAGAAGCCAUUUAAAUAAAAGUAUUGGUUACCGAGUCAGAAGUUUUUUUUGUCAUGUCUCUGAGCACAGUUAUAGAGCAUAUCAGAAGGGCUUGAGUAUUUUUUUAAUACCUUUGAAUAUGAUGUAUUUUGAA
This 1284-nucleotide long non-coding RNA is filed under the name Marmota monax (woodchuck). The record is from RNAcentral. Lineage: Eukaryota; Metazoa; Chordata; Mammalia; Rodentia; Sciuridae.